UUUUUUCCGGGAUUUUGUUUUUAAAGGCAUCGAUCGGGAGAUGCGGGCAGAAAUUGCUGCUGCUGCUGGGGCCGGGAGCUGAGCACCUCCGGAGCAAACCGGGAGCAGCUGAACUUUGGCGCUGGGAAAGAUUCAUUUCUCCUCCGUAAACACUUUGGGGACGACCACAGCGCAUCAUCGCACACCCAGCGCUGCAGCACCCGGUGCUGGAGAGACACUGGGGGGUUCCUCUCUCACCAAGGACGGACACCUGUGUAAGGAGCUGGGGAAGGGCAAUUCAUCUUUCUUUUCCAGAUGACUGCAAAUACCGAAAGGAUCGUGGCUCUCUGCUUUCCAUCAGCAAGUGGCAUUAGGGAGAGGCAGAGGAAUGGAAAUGAUGUUGCUCCAAUUCAUCCCAGCAUCUACUUUUUCCCAAGGGACUCCAUGCCCAUAGGGGUUUGCUGCAUGCAUGUCCAGCAGUGAGGACAGCAGUACCACAGAUGCAUCCCAACUGGAUCAUAUCUCUGCCCUCAUUGCAACUAUGCUCAUUUGCAACAUCAGUGCCAUCAAAGAUUGGAGCACUUUCCUCUCUCAGAUCCUCCCCAGCGUGAACAAGACCCUGAACUUGGUGCAGCAAGUGGAGGCCACUACCAGCUCAGUAGUGAGCGUCCUGCAGGACCCCGAGCAGGACAGCUACCUGGCCAACAGCCAGCCCAUGAACUCCAGCAACUUCACGGCCGGCCUAGACCACUUGUUUCAGUACUCUUACUCCGACAAUGACCAGCUGUACAAGGAGUACAAACCCCCUCCUCGCGACGCCAUCCCUCUGCCCAAGGCUGUCCUCUACCUCCUCAUGGCAGCCCUGGUGGUGGUGGCAGUGGCAUACGCCAUUGUUGGGCACCUCAUCAAGGACCUCAUUCAUGACUUUAUAGAUUGGAUCUUCGGCCCCAACCCAGAUGACAACAGCAACAAAAGCGACGUCAACUGCAUCACCAGCAGUGUCAAUGAGAUGAGCGAGAUGCCCGAGGUGCUGCGCCAUCAUGACCGCCAGCCCCAGGAUGUGGUCAUCGCCAUCAGCGAGACCUGCCACCUGCCACAGCAGACAUGA
Molecule: long non-coding RNA, 1087 nt
Filed under: Meleagris gallopavo (turkey)
Lineage: Eukaryota; Metazoa; Chordata; Aves; Galliformes; Phasianidae
Description: lncRNA (ENSMGAG00000022884.1)
Source: RNAcentral